RNAcentral lists this ribosomal RNA (460 nucleotides) under uncultured bacterium. RNAcentral's name for it is "partial 16S ribosomal RNA". It matches the Rfam family "Bacterial small subunit ribosomal RNA", at positions 338 to 795 of the family's 1533-position model. The record is from RNAcentral.
CCUACGGGCGGCAGCAGUGAGGAAUAUUGGUCAAUGGACGAGAGUCUGAACCAGCCAAGUAGCGUGAAGGAUGACUGCCCUAUGGGUUGUAAACUUCUUUUAUAUGGGAAUAAAAUGUUCCACGUGUGGGAUUUUGUAUGUACCAUAUGAAUAAGGAUCGGCUAACUCCGUGCCAGCAGCCGCGGUAAUACGGAGGAUCCGAGUGUUAUCCGGAUUUAUUGGGUUUAAAGGGAGCGUAGGUGGAUUGUUAAGUCAGUUGUGAAAGUUUGCGGCUCAACCGUAAAAUUGCAGUUGAAACUGGCAGUCUUGAGUACAGUAGAGGUGGGCGGAAUUCGUGGUGUAGCGGUGAAAUGCUUAGAUAUCACGAAGAACUCCGAUUGCGAAGGCAGUUCACUGGACUGCAACUGACACUGAGGCUCGAAAGUGUGGGUAUCAAACAGGAUUAGAUACCCUUGUAGUC